CUCCAGCCUGGGUAACAAGAGCGAAACUCCGUCUCAAAAAAAAAAAAGAAAGAGACAGAAGAGCAUAAAAAGAUGAGACUGACCUAGCCUCCCACCCUACAUCUUUCUUCAGUGCCAGAUGCUUCCUGCCCUAGAACACUGGACUUUAAGUUCUUCGGGUUUGGAAAUCGGACUGGCUUCCUUGCUCCUUACCUUGCAGACGGCCUAUGCCAUAUGGCUUGCAGACGGCCUAUGGUGGGACCCUGUGGUCUUAUGAGUCAAUACUCCUUAAUAGAAUUCUCUUUAUAUAUAAAUCUAUCCUAUUAGUUCUGUCCCUCUAGAGAACCCUGGCUAAUACACUAACCAGCCCCACAGAAACAGCGUCAUUGUCACCAUUUGAAUGAGUUUCUCUUCCUGCAGGCCUCGCUGCUCCUCUCCCAGCCCUGCCUGCUCUUUUUUCCACUGAAUGGAAACUCUUGUGAAGUUCAUCACAAAGAUAAUGAGCUAAUCUCAGUUAAUGUACUCUUCAGGCAGGUCUAUGUGAUCACCGUGAUCACCGAGGCUUUCUAUAGAAGAGAUGACCCACUUUUAUUGACCUCGCCAGUGAGUGAGUUAACCACUGAGAAUUUGUGGCCAGAUAGAAAGAGAGAGAGAGAGAGAGAGAGAGAGAGAGAGAGAGAAAGAGAAAGAGAGAGAGAGAGAAAUUCAAAUCUCUGGUACCAAUAGACAGAGUUAUUAAAAUUAUUAAAUACAUUUAUCUGUUCAACCUACCAUCUUAAUCAUCUUAAAAACAAUUAUGUUACAAAUUCAAAUGACAUCUCUUUCACAAAUCUUUAUACUCUCAAAAGAGACUUACAGACUCAAAAAAAAAGUAGUUGUUAACAAUUUAGUGAGGAGUUGCUGUGUGCCAACACUGUUUCAAGUGCUUUAGGCACAAUAACACAUUUAAUUUUCACAAUGCUAUGAGGUAGAUGCCACAUUUAUCCCUUUCACAGAUGAAGAAAAGGAGGCCAGAUUUUGAUCAAGUUUUCAAGGUCACACUGCUAGGAAGCUAUGGAACAGGUAUCUGAACUCAAGCAGCCUGUCCUGGAAACUUAAUAAUCAGCCAUAUGCAUUUUUUAAACAUUUGCUUUUCAUCA
Molecule: long non-coding RNA, 1118 nt
Filed under: Callithrix jacchus (white-tufted-ear marmoset)
Lineage: Eukaryota; Metazoa; Chordata; Mammalia; Primates; Cebidae
Description: lncRNA (ENSCJAG00000075158.1)
Source: RNAcentral